UGGCUCUCGCAUCGAUGAAGAACGCAGCGAAUUGCGAUAUGUUAAUGUGAAACGCAGAACAGUGAAUCAUCGAAACUUUGAACGCACCUUGCGCCCUCCGGUCUUCCGGAGAGCAUGCCUGUCUGAGUGUCGCUAAUCGAACAUAGGCCGAAAGGUCUGAUUCGGAUGUGUGCCGUGGUUUCGGCUCCGUCUUAGAUCCAAUUAGAACGCGGCUGCCUUGCCGACCUCUUGGGGACGUUUGAUCGUAACUCGCUUCAUCCGUCUUUCAACCUCGAGCGGUGUUGGGUGGCUCCCCUCCGCGGUGGUCCUCGUGGCCCUGUGGUGUUUGGAAAUUUGUCUAAUAGCGUGGCCUCAGAUCAGGUAGGACUACCCGCUGA
This 377-nucleotide unclassified non-coding RNA is filed under the name uncultured fungus. Its description in RNAcentral is "partial contains 5.8S ribosomal RNA and internal transcribed spacer 2". The stretch from base 1 to 132 matches the Rfam family "5.8S ribosomal RNA", at positions 22 to 154 of the family's 154-position model. Lineage: Eukaryota; Fungi. The record is from RNAcentral.